Small nucleolar RNA from Mustela putorius furo (domestic ferret), 118 nucleotides. NCBI's taxonomy places the organism in Eukaryota, Metazoa, Chordata, Mammalia, Carnivora, Mustelidae. The record is from Ensembl.
CAGCAGACAGUUAUCCCUUUCUAGUCUGGCUCAUGGGAGUCCGUCUGCAACAGUAAGUGGUGAGUUCUUCCAUCUGUCGUCAGUAUUUUGAUGGUGGCUUCAGACUUGCCGGAUAUCA